Non-coding RNA from Osmia lignaria (orchard mason bee), 995 nucleotides. Lineage: Eukaryota; Metazoa; Arthropoda; Insecta; Hymenoptera; Megachilidae. The record is from RefSeq and is a predicted model, not a curated record.
AAUCUGGAAUGUAACAUCAAAUAUCUAGAGAGGAAAAUUUGGAUUUCUUGCAUUCUGGUUCGAGUCGUAACAUAAAUAAUAUCCGAACGUCGUAAUUACACUUUAAUUUCUACGCAAAUACCAGCGCUGAAAUUUCACAUCUGGCUCCUAACACUUAAUCUACAAUUGUUGGUUCCAAAUUAGAAUUUAAAUUUCACCUCAGGUACUCUCGAUUACGUUGAUUCGAAUCAAGGAGAAUCAUACAAUCCGUCGCAUUGUCGAAAAUUCCUCGAGCAAUCAGAGCGCGAAGAAGAGAAGAGAAUUCGUUAGGGGAGAGUCGCAACAUCGUUGGACCAUCGCCCGAGCAAAAAUUCACGUUUCAGUCGGCUGAAUCUGCGGAGACAAAACCACUCACGUCCACCGUCCGACGCCAAGACAGGGUCGAUAAUUUCCGAAUAAAAAGGCGAGUUUUCACGCUCGAACGCGCUUCAAGUCCACCGCAUGGAACCAUCCCCUGGGUUAAGCUGCGUCGGCCAAAUAUAUCGAGGGUGGUAGAGGGAUAGAAGAGGGAAACCGGUCGGUCGGUCCGGUCGGUCGGUCGGUUGAUGGGUAUGGGAGCCUGUUAGCUUGUAACUGGUCUAUUACUGGCUUUAUUGAGAUUGGGAAUCAGCAGCCAGAUGGAAUCGGUAUCGGACGAAAACACACCAGCUAUUGGUCGCCACGAUUUCCAUGCCCGUUAAAACGGCCUCAAACGAAUCGUUAUUAUUCUGUCACGACGGCAAUGUGUACCUAUUAAGCUGGCUCCAAACUAGAAAAAAAUUACACAUACUGACGUUCUACGUAGAAUCCGAUGCAAAGGAUUUCUUCGCAGAUUCACCCGUUUUCCUAUACUGUUGGACGAAACUACAAAACACCUUGUAAAUUAUCUUUAAUUACCUCAUUAAAUGACCUUUUUUUGAAUAGUUUUUUGUUAUAUGUAUGGAUAUAAAAAAACUACUCUCAAAAUUUCAAAUAGA